Molecule: ribosomal RNA, 253 nt
Filed under: uncultured Acidobacteriota bacterium
Lineage: Bacteria; Pseudomonadati; Acidobacteriota
Description: uncultured Acidobacteria bacterium partial 16S ribosomal RNA
Rfam family: Bacterial small subunit ribosomal RNA
Source: RNAcentral
UAUGUAGGCAGCAAGUGUUGUUCGGAGUUACUGGGCGUAAAGAGUAUGUAGGCGGUUGGGUAAGUUUGGUGUGAAAUCUUUUGGCUUAACUGGGAGGGUGUGUUAAAGACUGCCUGGCUCGAGUGUGGGAGAGGAAAGUGGAAUUCCUGGUGUAGCGGUGAAAUGCGUAGAUAUCAGGAGGAACAUUUGUGGUGUAGACGGCUUUCUGGACCAUAACUGAUGCUGAGAUACGAAAGUGUGGGUAGCAAACAGG